This 594-nucleotide ribosomal RNA is filed under the name uncultured bacterium. RNAcentral describes it as "partial 16S ribosomal RNA". It matches the Rfam family "Bacterial small subunit ribosomal RNA", at positions 355 to 938 of the family's 1533-position model. The record is from RNAcentral.
UGGGGAAUUUUGGACAAUGGGCGAAAGCCUGAUCCAGCAAUGCCGCGUGUGUGAAGAAGGCCUUCGGGUUGUAAAGCACUUUUGUCCGGAAAGAAAUCCUUGGCUCUAAUGCAGUCGGGGGAUACGGUACCGGAAGAAUAAGCACCGGCUAACUACGUGCCAGCAGCCGCGGUAAUACGUAGGGUGCAAGCGUUAAUCGGAAUUACUGGGCGUAAAGCGUGCGCAGGCGGUUUGCUAAGACCGAUGUGAAAUCCCCGGGCUCAACCUGGGAACUGCAUUGGUGACUGGCAGGCUAGAGUAUGGCAGAGGGGGGUAGAAUUCCACGUGUAGCAGUGAAAUGCGUAGAGAUGUGGAGGAAUACCGAUGGCGAAGGCAGCCCCCUGGGCCAAAUACUGACGCUCAUGCACGAAAAGGCGUGGGGAGCAAAACAGGAUUAGAUACCCUGGUAGUCCACGCCCCUAAAACGAUGUCAACUAGUUGUUGGGGGAUUCAUUUCCUUAGUAACGUAGCUAACGCGUGAAGUUGACCGCCUGGGGAGUACGGUCGCAAAAAUUUAAAAACUUAAAGGAAUUGACGGGGUCAUAGCUGUUUCUU